RNAcentral lists this long non-coding RNA (1193 nucleotides) under Heterocephalus glaber (naked mole-rat). RNAcentral's name for it is "lncRNA (ENSHGLG00100050648.1)". The record is from RNAcentral. Lineage: Eukaryota; Metazoa; Chordata; Mammalia; Rodentia; Bathyergidae.
GUGCGUGUGGGUUUUCGCAUUGGUCUGGGGGUGGUAUGCUGCGUGAAUGCUGGUGUGCGUGGGCAGCGUGUGGUUUGUGUGGUGGGGUAUGAGCACCUCUGCCUCCUUUGAGUUGCCGUGCAAGGGCCUAAACAUAGCAGGCAUUUGUGGACAUAUAUUUGUGUGUGCACUGUGUUAGGUGUGAGUGUCUGCCUGCCCCACGCACGUGUGACAAGGAGGCCUCCCUCUGGGCCAGGCUGCUGUCCCCUGAACCUGGUGAACAAAUCUCUAACAGCAAUCAUAAUAACAAUAAAUAACAUAACUAAUAAAAACAGUAGUUAACAGUCCCUCCCUAGUAGGAUAACAAUAAAAUGUCAGGGGAGGCGUUUUGAGGAGCCAGUGAAGGAGUCACCAUCUCAGAAUCUAAAGGGAAGACUGGAAAGGAAGGAAGUUAGCUUCUUUAAAUGCCUUUGAGGGGCUGGGGUUGGGAAUCCCCUCCCCAGACUGGGUUCUUGGCCCACAGGAGGGGAGGAAAGCCAGGAGGCCACUUUUCUGCUGCUUUUUCUAUGGCGUUUACUCCACAUAUGGGGUGGUUAGUAGCUUUGGGGGCUCUCUGAGAACCCCUGUUUUAAAGAGGAGGCCAAAUGUGCCGAGUCAGGCCGAGGGGCAAAGAAGGACGGGGCGAUGACCACAGUCUCCGGUCCUGGCCGCCGGGCGCCGAAGUGCCCGAGGACGAGCCGCGGGGCCGGGGAGAAAGCAGAAAAAUAUUUAUGGCCGCCCGCCCGGGAGUGAGGAGAGCGGGCGAGUGAGGCUGGGGCUCCUGCAAGUGAAAGUUCCUUUCCUGGAGUCUUUUUAAAAAGAAAGGAGAGGUUGAGGCGCCUUGAAUUUUCCUCCUGGAGAUUAGAGCCCAGCGGAUUUCUGUAAAGGAAGCGAAGACCGAGGUCCGGGUUCCUGCAGUGUCAGCCUCCUUCUCUCCAGAUCAAGACAGAAAGAGACACCAGAGAAGAGACUAUGUGUGUGUGACGAGAGAAAGAAAACAGAAGGUGGUAAAGAAGGGGAAAUAAGUGCCCCAAUCUUUUAAAAGCUGCUUUUCCUGAGUUAAAUAGAACCUUUAGUAAGUUCAGGAAGAAAAUAAAUAUAUGUAGUGAUUUCCCCCCUCCUAGUUCUGAUCUCUCCAAAUGAGCAAGCUUAGGAAAGAACUGUGGAUUUGAAGU